UACGGAGGGUGCAAGCGUUAUCCGGAUUCACUGGGUUUAAAGGGUGCGUAGGUGGGUUGGUAAGUCAGUGGUGAAAUCCCCGAGCUUAACUUGGGAACUGCCAUUGAUACUGGCGAUCUCGAGUCCGGGAGAGGUGAGUGGAACUGCGAGUGUAGAGGUGAAAUUCGUAGAUAUUCGCAAGAACACCAGUGGCGAAGGCGGCUCACUGGCCCGGUACUGACGCUGAGGUGCGAAAGCGUGGGGAGCAAACAGG
RNAcentral lists this ribosomal RNA (253 nucleotides) under uncultured bacterium. RNAcentral describes it as "partial 16S ribosomal RNA". It matches the Rfam family "Bacterial small subunit ribosomal RNA", at positions 524 to 776 of the family's 1533-position model. The record is from RNAcentral.